This 403-nucleotide unclassified non-coding RNA is filed under the name soil metagenome. RNAcentral's name for it is "partial contains 5.8S ribosomal RNA, internal transcribed spacer 2, and large subunit ribosomal RNA". The stretch from base 1 to 120 matches the Rfam family "5.8S ribosomal RNA", at positions 35 to 154 of the family's 154-position model. The record is from RNAcentral.
GAUGAAGAACGUAGCGAAAUGCGAUAAGUAAUGUGAAUUGCAGAAUUCAGUGAAUCAUCGAAUCUUUGAACGCACCUUGCGCCCUUUGGACUUCUGAAGGGCAUGCCUGUUUGAGUAUCAUGAACACCUCAACUCCUUAUGGUCUUCCAUGAUGGGCUUGGACUUUGGGGGUUUUGCUGGCCUACAGUCAGCUCCUCUAAAAUAAAUCAGCUUACCGGUGUUUGGUGGGUAUCAUGGGUGUGAUAACUAUCUACGCUCGUGGUUUUCCACCAGGUAACCUUCAGCAGUGGAGGUUCACUGGAGCUCAUAGAUGUCUCUCCUCAGCGAGGACAGCCCUUUGAAUGUUUGAUCUCAAAUCAGGUAGGACUACCCGCUGAACUUAAGCAUAUCAAUAAGCGGAGGA